UCUACCUAGUAGUAUAGGAUAGCCACUAGAAAUGGUGGGUAAUACUGUAUAAUCCCUGCGGGGGAAAGAUUUAUCGCUACAUGAUGAGCCUAUGUUAGAUUAGCUAGUUGGUGGGGUAAUGGCCUACCAAGGCAGUGAUCUAUAGCUGGUCUGAGAGGAUGAUCAGCCACACUGGAACUGAGACACGGUCCAGACUCCUACGGGAGGCAGCAGUGGGGAAUAUUGGACAAUGGGCGCAAGCCUGAUCCAGCUAUGCCGCGUGAGUGAGGAAGGCCUUAGGGUUGUAAAACUCUUUCAGUGGGGAAGAUAAUGACGGUACCCACAGAAGAAGUCCCGGCAAACUCCGUGCCAGCAGCCGCGGUAAUACGGAGGGGGCAAGCGUUGUUCGGAAUUAUUGGGCGUAAAGGGCAUGUAGGUGGUUUGGUAAGUUAAAGGUGAAAUGCCAGGGCUUAACCCUGGAGCUGCUUUUAAUACUGCCAGACUGGAGUCCCGGG
RNAcentral lists this ribosomal RNA (494 nucleotides) under Anaplasma bovis. Its description in RNAcentral is "bacterial SSU rRNA". It matches the Rfam family "Bacterial small subunit ribosomal RNA", at positions 125 to 653 of the family's 1533-position model. Lineage: Bacteria; Pseudomonadati; Pseudomonadota; Alphaproteobacteria; Rickettsiales; Anaplasmataceae. The record is from RNAcentral.